Long non-coding RNA from Zingiber officinale, 897 nucleotides. RefSeq lists it as uncharacterized. The transcript is spliced from 3 exons. The record is from RefSeq and is a predicted model, not a curated record. Lineage: Eukaryota; Viridiplantae; Streptophyta; Magnoliopsida; Zingiberales; Zingiberaceae.
GAUCUGAAAGCAAUCGAUUCCUCGUUUCUUCUUCCGCUGCCGGUUUUUUCUUACUCCUGCAAAAAGGGUAGCAUUUUUUCCGGUGACUGGUGAGGUGAUGGCGGCGGCGAGGGAGGAGAAUGUUUUUAUCUGGAGAAGUUGGCGGAACAGGCGGAGAGAUACGAGGAGAUGGUGGAUUACAUAGAGAAGGUCUUCGGUGCGGCGGCGGCGGCGGAGGGGGAGGAGCUCACGGUGUAGGAUCGCAACCUCCUCUCUGUCGCUUACAAGAACAUCAGCGGCGUCCGACAUGAUUCCUGGAGGAUCGUCUCCUCCGAGGCUACUGGACCUGAGCGCAAGGACGCCGCUGAGAACACCUUCUCAGCCUACAAGGACACCCAGAAUCACCACUGACACACCCGAUUCGGCUAGGUUUGGCCCUAAAUUUCUCGGUCUGUUCUAGGACGAGAUUUUGAAUUCGCCAGACAAGCCUUGUUCUCUUGCCAAGAAGACCCCGUGGGUCAUCCGAGAUGGCAUGGAACGGAAGUUGCUGCAAGGAGGCCGCCGGGUUGAAACUCAGUGACAACGGGGGAAUAAAUCCCUUAUCCCUGUAUCCCAUCCGGUCCGUCCCAUGUUAGCUCGGGUACUGCGAUUUACCUCCCUCACAAUGAUCGUGGAUCCGGUCAGUGGGGACCCGGGGGCGAGGGUUUCGCCUUGUUGCUGCAAGUGAUAUGAUAUUUUCUCUUUUGUUUGCCAACUCAUGAGUAGCAUUUCCUCUCUAAAUGAACAUGUUAUUUCUAUUAUUCUAACAUGCUGUAUGAAAAUUUAUUUGGAUUGUAAUGACAUCCUUUUUUGUUCUGGACUUCUGAUCCAGUAUUGAUGUAUGUUCGACAAUUCGAACUUAAUGCCCAUAUUGCAUCC